UACGUAGGGUGCAAGCGUUAAUCGGAAUUACUGGGCGUAAAGCGUGCGCAGGCGGUUUUGUAAGUCUGUCGUGAAAUCCCCGGGCUCAACCUGGGAAUUGCGAUGGAGACUGCAAGGCUAGAAUCUGGCAGAGGGGGGUAGAAUUCCACGUGUAGCAGUGAAAUGCGUAGAUAUGUGGAGGAACACCGAUGGCGAAGGCAGCCCCCUGGGUCAAGAUUGACGCUACAUG
Molecule: ribosomal RNA, 229 nt
Filed under: uncultured bacterium
Lineage: Bacteria
Description: partial 16S ribosomal RNA
Rfam family: Bacterial small subunit ribosomal RNA
Source: RNAcentral